UACGUAGGGGGCAAGCGUUGUCCGGAAUCAUUGGGCGUAAAGCGCGUGUAGGCGGCCCGAUAAGUCCGCUGUGAAAGUCCAGGGCUCAACCCUGGAAUGCCGGUGGAUACUGUCGGGCUCGAGUCCGGAAGAGGCGAGUGGAAUUCCUGGUGUAGCGGUGAAAUGCGCAGAUAUCAGGAGGAACACCGAUGGCGAAGGCAGCUCGCUGGGACGGUACUGACGCUGAGGAGCGAAAGCGUGGGUAGCAAACAGG
Molecule: ribosomal RNA, 253 nt
Filed under: uncultured bacterium
Lineage: Bacteria
Description: partial 16S ribosomal RNA
Rfam family: Bacterial small subunit ribosomal RNA
Source: RNAcentral